GAUGAACGCUGGCGGCGUGCCUAAUACAUGCAAGUCGAGCGAACGGACGAGAAGCUUGCUUUUCUGAUGUUAGCGGCGGACGGGUGAGUAACACGUGGAUAACCUACCUAUAAGACUGGGAUCACUUCGAGAAACCGGAGCUAAUACCGGAGAAUAUUUUGAACCGCAUGGUUCAAAAGUGAAAGACGGUCUUGGUGUCACUUCUAGAUGGAUACGCGCUGCAUUAGCUAGUUGGUACGGUAACGGCUUACCAAGGCAACGAUGCAUAGCCGACCUGAGAGGGUGAUCGGCCACACUGGAACUGAGACACGGUCCAGACUCCUACGGGAGGCACCAGUAGCGAAUCUUCCGCAAUGGGCGAAAGCCUGACGGAGCAGCGCCGCGUGAGUGAUGAAGGUCUUCGGAUCGUAAAACUCUGUUAUGAGUGAAGAACAUAUGUGUAAGUAACUGUGCACAUCUUGACGGUACCUAAUCAGAAAGCCACGGCUAACUACGUG
This 497-nucleotide ribosomal RNA is filed under the name uncultured bacterium. RNAcentral describes it as "partial 16S ribosomal RNA". It matches the Rfam family "Bacterial small subunit ribosomal RNA", at positions 28 to 507 of the family's 1533-position model. The record is from RNAcentral.